ACGGGCAGACUAGAGUGCAGUAGGGGAGACUGGAAUUCCUGGUGUAGCGGUGGAAUGCGCAGAUAUCAGGAGGAACACCGAUGGCGAAGGCAGGUCUCUGGGCUGUAACUGACGCUGAGGAGCGAAAGCAUGGGGAGCGAACAGGAUUAGAUACCCUGGUAGUCCAUGCCGUAAACGUUGGGCACUAGGUGUGGGGACCAUUCCACGGUUUCCGCGCCGCAGCUAACGCAUUAAGUGCCCCGCCUGGGGAGUACGGCCGCAAGGCUAAAACUCAAAGGAAUUGACGGGGGCCCGCACAAGCGGCGGAGCAUGCGGAUUAAUUCGAUGCAACGCGAAGAACCUUACCAAGGCUUGACAUGUUCUCGAUCGCCGUAGAGAUACGGUUUCCCCUUUGGGGCGGGUUCACAGGUGGUGCAUGGUUGUCGUCAGCUCGUGUCGUGAGAUGUUGGGUUAAGUCCCGCAACGAGCGCAACCCUCGUUCCAUGUUGCCAGCACGUCAUGGUGGGGACUCAUGGAAGACUGCCGGGGUCAACUCGGAGGAAGGUGAGGACGACGUCAAAUCAUCAUGCCCCUUAUGUCUUGGGCUUCACGCAUGCUACAAUGGCCGGUACAAUGGGUUGCGAUACUGUGAGGUGGAGCUAAUCCCAAAAAGCCGGUCUCAGUUCGGAUUGGGGUCUGCAACUCGACCCCAUGAAGUCGGAGUCGCUAGUAAUCGCAGAUCAGCAA
Molecule: ribosomal RNA, 726 nt
Filed under: Micrococcus sp. T149-3
Lineage: Bacteria; Bacillati; Actinomycetota; Actinomycetes; Micrococcales; Micrococcaceae
Description: bacterial SSU rRNA
Rfam family: Bacterial small subunit ribosomal RNA
Source: RNAcentral